GAGUGUAACCACUCUUCUCCUUC
Molecule: microRNA, 23 nt
Organism: Caenorhabditis elegans
Lineage: Eukaryota; Metazoa; Nematoda; Chromadorea; Rhabditida; Rhabditidae
Source: Ensembl